CAGCGUAUAGCGCAGCCCGGUAGCGCGCCACUUUGGGGUAGUGGAGGUCGUGGGUUCGAAUCCCGCUACGCUGACUA
Molecule: transfer RNA, 77 nt
Filed under: Bacteroidota bacterium
Lineage: Bacteria; Pseudomonadati; Bacteroidota
Description: Bacteroidetes bacterium (freshwater bacterium LH6-2 metagenome) tRNA-Pro
Rfam family: tRNA
About the family: Transfer RNA (tRNA) molecules are approximately 80 nucleotides in length.
Source: RNAcentral